GGGCUCGGAGUCGGCCGGUAAGACGCUCGCUCCGCAAGCGAGAGACAGCGGGUUCAAUUCCCGCCGAGUCCA
RNAcentral lists this transfer RNA (72 nucleotides) under Candidatus Micrarchaeota archaeon CG1_02_55_22. RNAcentral's name for it is "tRNA-Ala". It matches the Rfam family "tRNA". Rfam says of the family: Transfer RNA (tRNA) molecules are approximately 80 nucleotides in length. Their secondary structure includes four short double-helical elements and three loops (D, anti-codon, and T loops). The record is from RNAcentral. Lineage: Archaea; Nanobdellati; Microcaldota.